RNAcentral lists this transfer RNA (62 nucleotides) under Xenostrobus securis. Its description in RNAcentral is "tRNA-Met". The record is from RNAcentral. Lineage: Eukaryota; Metazoa; Mollusca; Bivalvia; Mytilida; Modiolidae.
UGUAAGAUAAACUAAAAAAGUUAUAGGGUUCAUGCCCCUGCCAUGCCGAAAGGCUCUUAUAG